UGAUAUCUGUAGGGUGGAUGAACAAUUGAGGCGUUUUAAUCUGAAAUUGGUCUUGCUAUGGCCUCUCUUAAUGAGGGGAGAUGGAAUCUUUCUAUGAGGAGAUGAUAGUGCUGGGGGUCGCGGGCUUGGCUGGGCAGCUUUUUCCUGCCUGGGCAGAUAGCCGGCUGCUCACAUGGGCUCCUCUGCCUGACUCCCCUUCUGCCGUUUUCUGCCCCUGCGUUCGAAAGUGAUCGCGGGCUGCCGGUGCCCUGGUCAUUGAUAGUGCAGGGAGAGGAAUCGCUGAAAGCGUUUCCCCGUGUUUGGAGGGUCCAUCCUGUCCCUUCCAAACUCUGGAGCUUUCCCACACCUCCUUCCUCCCCCCAGCUCUCAGAUGCCUUCUGGCACCUGGUGUCUACUGAGUGCCUGGCUGCUGAGAUGUUUUUAAAAAGACAGAUAAAGCAAGGGUUGUGUCUAAGGACCUAUGGGCUUGCUGUGGAGCCACUGAUGAGUGAUUGCCACCAAGGGCAUCCCUCCAGGAAGCCAUUUCUGCCUCCCCCUCCCCUUUCCAGGUCCUGAGUACUGCAUGUUUUGUGGUGUGAUGUAGCCUGGGAAGUGACUUGCUGUGGGUUGAGGGCACCAAUCAUACUUUGUGAAAAUCAUUGGUUUUCUUGUCUUUUUGUCUCUCUCUGCUCUGAUCUUGAGAUUAGCAUCUGAGUCUCACCUCUUUGUAGGCUCAGUGACUAGCAGGUGUCCAGUGCUCAGCUGCUGUGGAACAACUGCCCAGUGGGAGGGAAGGAAAGGAGAGAUGGGGUGGUGGGGCCAUCACAUCGUGGAACAAUCAGGGAAAGACUGCUUGUGAGCCCCUAGGAGGGGGGGCACUUUCUAUGUUUCCUUCUCCUGGAGUUCUUCCUUUUGGCCAGUAUUCCUUCAUUGGAGUUCAUUGGAUUCCAUUGGAGGCCCCUUGGCAUGAGAUAGAGCCCAGUCCACCAGGGGAGACUUUCUGCAUGGCCUGCUGUUAUGGCAGCUGGAACCAGAGCAGUAAUGAAAUUGGACAAGGCUUAAAUAGAUGCCAGACCUCACCUUCGCAGGCGACCUGAGGCGCUCCUGCCCCUGUGCCCUCCCUGCCCAGGCCAGACACUGCCUGUCAGAUGUUGCACCCUUCCAAACCUGCCCUGGAGUUUCCAUCCUGUUCAAGAUCCAGCUUUCAGAACCUGUACAGUGUCAUCAGAGUUUGCACAAAAGUUGAUCUGCCCUAGAUGAGCUGUUGUCCCAUGUGGAGUGGAAGCUUCCUUCCUGUUCAUGAGAAGACGGUGUGGCUCGUAGAGGAGGCAGCAUGGUGCAUAGGGUCCUUGAGAGGUGUCUCCAUCCUGUCAGGAAGCAGCUGGACCAUGGUGCUGCUGAGUUGCAGAUGAGUCCACUGUGUGCAGAGGCGUCAUGGAAGUUGCCAUGUUGGGAACAUUCUAGACCCCAGUGUCCUUGAGGAGGAUUGAGAUUCCUUCCUGAGCCAAGUUUGGUGUGAAAAGAAAUGUGCAGCUCAUCCCUGACUUAGUGGGGGCAUUCUCACGGAUGUCAGCUUGAAGAAAGAUAAGGUAACGCUGGAGAGCAAAUCCUUGUCGUGAGCUCCUCAUCACCCUCAGGGUGCUGCCUGGGACCUGGACUUGGUUGGAAGAAGCCUCAAAGGAAAACAGUGGCCCCCCUCAGGAUGGUGACCGGUCCCAGCUCCCUGGAGGGGCCUCCUCAUGGUUAUUAUGGGGCUGAUCACAGACACUGUGUAGCAGAGCGAAGAAUGAUGUUGCCACAUGACCGUCACCAGACCUUCUAUCUUCCAUUGGCUCAGCACAGAAUGGAAGGACUUUGCAGCUCUGUAAAGGGGGCAGAUGGAAUGUCCUGGGACUCUAGGAACUUGGGGUUCAGAGCUGGAGACCUUCACGUAGCUCUGCCUCUCCCCAGCAGGUGCCACAGAGCACUGCGGACCCAGAAAACUGGUUUCCUUCCAUCUGGACCAGGUCAUCCAGUGGCCUCCAUGUCCCCCUGCCUACUGCUAUGUAACUUUUUAGAACCAAGAGUUUGUGCUGGAGUUUCUGUGUGUGCAUCUUGUCCUCUCAUCCACUUCAGUAAAUCUUGAAGCUGCCCAA
This is a non-coding RNA of Vicugna pacos (alpaca), 2114 nucleotides long. The record is from RefSeq and is a predicted model, not a curated record. Lineage: Eukaryota; Metazoa; Chordata; Mammalia; Artiodactyla; Camelidae.